This 493-nucleotide ribosomal RNA is filed under the name uncultured bacterium. RNAcentral's name for it is "partial 16S ribosomal RNA". It matches the Rfam family "Bacterial small subunit ribosomal RNA", at positions 28 to 507 of the family's 1533-position model. The record is from RNAcentral.
GACGAACGCUGGCGGCGUGCUUAACACAUGCAAGUCGAACGGUGAAGCGCCUUCCUUUUUGGUGGGUGUGGAUGAGUGGCGAACGGGUGAGUAACACGUGAGUAACCUGCCCCCUUCUUCUGGAUAACCGCAUGAAAGUGUGGCUAAUACGGGAUAUUCUGGGUCUGUCGCAUGAUGGGUCUGGGAAAGAUAUUGUUUCGGUGGGGGUGGGCUCGCGGCCUAUCAGCUUGUUGGUGGGGUGAUGGCCUACCAAGGCGGUGACGGGUAGCCGGCCUGAGAGGGUGGACGGUCACACUGGGACUGAGACACGGCCCAGACUCCUACGGGAGGCAGCAGUGGGGAAUAUUGCACAAUGGGCGCAAGCCUGAUGCAGCGACGCCGCGUGAGGGAUGGAGGCCUGCGGGUUGUGAACCUCUUUCGCCAGUGAAGCAGGCCUGCCUCGUUUGUGGGUGGGUUGACGGUAGCUGGAUAAGAAGCGCCGGCUAACUACGUG